UUAAGCGACUAAGCGUACACGGUGGAUGCCCUGGCAGUCAGAGGCGAUGAAGGACGUGCUAAUCUGCGAAAAGCGUCGGUAAGGUGAUAUGAACCGUUACAGCCGGCGAUGUCCGAAUGGGGAAACCCAGUGCAAUUCGUUGCACUAUCGUUAACUGAAUACAUAGGUUAACGAGGCGAACCGGGGGAACUGAAACAUCUAAGUACCCCGAGGAAAAGAAAUCAACCGAGAUUCCCCCAGUAGCGGCGAGCGAACGGGGAGCAGCCCAGAGUCUGAAUCAGCUUGUGUGUUAGUGGAACGGUCUGGAAAGUCCGACGGUACAGGGUGAUAGUCCCGUACACCAAAAUGCACAGGUUGUGAACUCGAAGAGUAGGGCGGGACACGUGGUAUCCUGUCUGAAUAUGGGGGGACCAUCCUCCAAGGCUAAAUACUCCUGACUGACCGAUAGUGAACCAGUACCGUGAGGGAAAGGCGAAAAGAACCCCGGCGAGGGGAGUGAAAAAGAACCUGAAACCGUGUACGUACAAGCAGUGGGAGCACCUUCGGGUGUGACUGCGUACCUUUUGUAUAAUGGGUCAGCGACUUAUAUUCUGUAGCAAGGUUAACCGUAUAGGGGAGCCGCAGGGAAACCGAGUCUUAACUGGGCGUUAAGUUGCAGGGUAUAGACCCGAAACCCGGUGAUCUAGCCAUGGGCAGGUUGAAGGUUGGGUAACACUAACUGGAGGACCGAACCGACUAAUGUUGAAAAAUUAGCGGAUGACUUGUGGCUGGGGGUGAAAGGCCAAUCAAACCGGGAGAUAGCUGGUUCUCCCCGAAAGCUAUUUAGGUAGCGCCUCGUGAAUUCAUCUUCGGGGGUAGAGCACUGUUUCGGCUAGGGGGUCAUCCCGACUUACCAACCCGAUGCAAACUACGAAUACCGAAGAAUGUUAUCACGGGAGACACACGGCGGGUGCUAACGUCCGUCGUGAAGAGGGAAACAACCCAGACCGCCAGCUAAGGUCCCAAAGUCAUGGUUAAGUGGGAAACGAUGUGGGAAGGCACAGACAGCCAGGAUGUUGGCUUAGAAGCAGCCAUCAUUUAAAGAAAGCGUAAUAGCUCACUGGUCGAGUCGGCCUGCGCGGAAGAUGUAACGGGGCUAAACCAUGCACCGAAGCUGCGGCAGCGACACUAUGUGUUGUUGGGUAGGGGAGCGUUCUGUAAGCCUGCGAAGGUGACCUGUGAGGGUUGCUGGAGGUAUCAGAAGUGCGAAUGCUGACAUAAGUAACGAUAAAGCGGGUGAAAAGCCCGCUCGCCGGAAGACCAAGGGUUCCUGUCCAACGUUAAUCGGGGCAGGGUGAGUCGACCCCUAAGGCGAGGCCGAAAGGCGUAGUCGAUGGGAAACAGGUUAAUAUUCCUGUACUUGGUGUUACUGCGAAGGGGGGACGGAGAAGGCUAUGUUAGCCGGGCGACGGUUGUCCCGGUUUAAGCAUGUAGGCUGGUUGUCCAGGCAAAUCCGGAUAAUCAAGGCUGAGGUGUGAUGACGAGGCACUACGGUGCUGAAGUAACAAAUGCCCUGCUUCCAGGAAAAGCCUCUAAGCAUCAGGUAACAUCAAAUCGUACCCCAAACCGACACAGGUGGUCAGGUAGAGAAUACCAAGGCGCUUGAGAGAACUCGGGUGAAGGAACUAGGCAAAAUGGUGCCGUAACUUCGGGAGAAGGCACGCUGGUGUGUAGGUGAAGUCCCUGCGGAUGGAGCUGAGACCAGUCGAAGAUACCAGCUGGCUGCAACUGUUUAUUAAAAACACAGCACUGUGCAAACACGAAAGUGGACGUAUACGGUGUGACGCCUGCCCGGUGCCGGAAGGUUAAUUGAUGGGGUUAUCCGUAAGGAGAAGCUCUUGAUCGAAGCCCCGGUAAACGGCGGCCGUAACUAUAACGGUCCUAAGGUAGCGAAAUUCCUUGUCGGGUAAGUUCCGACCUGCACGAAUGGCGUAAUGAUGGCCAGGCUGUCUCCACCCGAGACUCAGUGAAAUUGAACUCGCUGUGAAGAUGCAGUGUACCCGCGGCAAGACGGAAAGACCCCGUGAACCUUUACUAUAGCUUGACACUGAACAUUGAGCCUUGAUGUGUAGGAUAGGUGGGAGGCUUUGAAGCGUGGACGCCAGUCUGCGUGGAGCCAACCUUGAAAUACCACCCUUUAAUGUUUGAUGUUCUAACGUUGGCCCCUUACCGGGGUUGCGGACAGUGUCUGGUGGGUAGUUUGACUGGGGCGGUCUCCUCCCAAAGCGUAACGGAGGAGCACGAAGGUUAGCUAAUCCUGGUCGGACAUCAGGAGGUUAGUGCAAUGGCAUAAGCUAGCUUGACUGCGAGCGUGACGGCGCGAGCAGGUGCGAAAGCAGGUCAUAGUGAUCCGGUGGUUCUGAAUGGAAGGGCCAUCGCUCAACGGAUAAAAGGUACUCCGGGGAUAACAGGCUGAUACCGCCCAAGAGUUCAUAUCGACGGCGGUGUUUGGCACCUCGAUGUCGGCUCAUCACAUCCUGGGGCUGAAGUAGGUCCCAAGGGUAUGGCUGUUCGCCAUUUAAAGUGGUACGCGAGCUGGGUUUAGAACGUCGUGAGACAGUUCGGUCCCUAUCUGCCGUGGGCGCUGGAGAAUUGAGGGGGGCUGCUCCUAGUACGAGAGGACCGGAGUGGACGCAUCACUGGUGUUCGGGUUGUCAUGCCAAUGGCACUGCCCGGUAGCUAAAUGCGGAAGAGAUAAGUGCUGAAAGCAUCUAAGCACGAAACUUGCCCCGAGAUGAGUUCUCCCUGAGACUUUAAGUCUCCUGAAGGAACGUUAAAGACGAUGACGUUGAUAGGCCGGGUGUGUAAGCGCAGCGAUGCGUUGAGCUAACCGGUACUAAUGAACCGUGAGGCUUAACCUU
Molecule: ribosomal RNA, 2900 nt
Filed under: Klebsiella pneumoniae BIDMC 51
Lineage: Bacteria; Pseudomonadati; Pseudomonadota; Gammaproteobacteria; Enterobacterales; Enterobacteriaceae
Description: bacterial LSU rRNA
Rfam family: Bacterial large subunit ribosomal RNA
Source: RNAcentral